GUCCACGCCCUAAACGAUGUCGACUGGUUGUUGGGGGUUUGACACUCUCAGUAACGAAGCUAACGCGUGAAGUCGACCGCCUGGGGAGUACGGCCGCAAGGUUAAAACUCAAAGGAAUUGACGGGGACCCGCACAAGCGGUGGAUUAUGUGGAUUAAUUCGAUGCAACGCGAAAAACCUUACCUACCCUUGACAUGUCCUGAAUCAUAGAGAGAUCUGGGAGUGCCCGAAAGGGAACGGGAACACAGGUGCUGCAUGGCUGUCGU
RNAcentral lists this ribosomal RNA (265 nucleotides) under uncultured bacterium. Its description in RNAcentral is "partial 16S ribosomal RNA". It matches the Rfam family "Bacterial small subunit ribosomal RNA", at positions 793 to 1055 of the family's 1533-position model. The record is from RNAcentral.